AUGCAAGAGAACACAAAAUAUGAGUACAAAGGGGAAGAUGGGAAUAGAGAACCUGUUGACGGGGGAUUUUCUAUCACUAUCUAUACGGCAGAGGAGAGAUCCUCUCCUGUGUUGCCUCGGACAAGCCCUGACCAGCAAUGCUGCCAGACACUCCUCUGUGCAUGGGCCAGGGCCAGGCGCACCUUGAAAGUCAGAUGGACCACCUUCAAAGCCGCCUACAAAGCCCGUGAUGAUCUCCUCUGGUGGCAUAAUCUUGCACAAUGCAACGCCGGAGAGCUCUCCAUGGCCUAUGUCCAGGCUAAUCAUCUGAUGGAGGACCAUUGUCGCGUAGAGUCAUCUCCUACCCUCGGCACCUUCGUCGGUAUAUUUGAUGGUCACGGUGGCCCCGAAGUCGCCCGCUUCACUGCUGAGCAUCUCUUCCCUAAUCUCCAACCCAAAGCCACGUGUCGCAAGCAGGCUGUGACAGCUGAAACCAUCAGGAUGGCAUUCCUGGACACAGAUGAAAGCUUCAUUGCUCUUGUGGAGAAACAAUGGGCAGUCACGCCUAACCUUGCCGCCGUCGGGUCAUGCUGCCUCGUCGGCGUCGUGCACCAGCGGACUCUCUUCGUCGCCAACCUUGGGAACUCCCGAGCUGUUCUCGGAAAAGUUGAUCUCAACGGGGGGAUUUGCCCAGUGCAGCUGUCCACUGAACAUGUUGCCUCUGAUGAGAAUGUCAGGCAGGAGCUCAGGGCUCAGCACCCCGAUGAUCCACAUAUUGUGGUGCUUAAGCAUGAUCACUGGAGAGUGAAAGGCAUCCAACAGGUGUCGAGAACAAUAGGUGACGCAUACUUGAAACACCAGCGGUUUAACAGGGAACCACUCCAUAGUAGGUUCAGGCUUAGGGAACCAUUCAGCCGGCCUAUAUUGAGUGCUGAACCAUCUAUCAUCUCAUACAGUCUUAAACCAAGCGACCGUUUCAUCAUAUUUGCAUCCGAUGGCCUGUGGGAGUUCUUGAGUAAUGAGGAAGCCAUCGAGAUUUUCACAAAAAUGAGCGUAGUGGAAUUGCAAGAAGGCUUAUAG
RNAcentral lists this ribosomal RNA (1059 nucleotides) under Triticum aestivum (bread wheat). RNAcentral's name for it is "partial small subunit ribosomal RNA". Lineage: Eukaryota; Viridiplantae; Streptophyta; Magnoliopsida; Poales; Poaceae. The record is from RNAcentral.